This 338-nucleotide unclassified non-coding RNA is filed under the name soil metagenome. RNAcentral's name for it is "partial contains 5.8S ribosomal RNA, internal transcribed spacer 2, and large subunit ribosomal RNA". The stretch from base 1 to 119 matches the Rfam family "5.8S ribosomal RNA", at positions 35 to 154 of the family's 154-position model. The record is from RNAcentral.
GAUGAAGAACGUAGCGAAAUGCGAUAAGUAAUGCGAAUUGCAGAAUUCCGUGAGUCAUCGAAUCUUGAACGCACAUUGCGCCCUCUGGUAUUCCGGAGGGCAUGCCUGUCUGAGCGUCAUUGUCAACCCUCAAGCUCAGCUUGCUGUUGGGUCCCCGUCGUUGCUUUAACGGCGGACCCGAAAGGUAAUGGCAGAGUCCGUGAGACCCUAGACGCAGCGAGCUUCUAGCACGCGUCUGGACGUUUUUCGGGCUCGGUCUUAACUAGAUGAUAACUUCCGAUUGACCUCAGAUCAGGUAGGGAUACCCGCUGAACUUAAGCAUAUCAAUAAGCGGAGGA